GGGCGUGUGCCCGAGUGGCCAAAGGGGACGGGCUGUAAACCCGUUGGCGUGAGCCUUCGUUGGUUCGAAUCCAACCGCGCCCA
Molecule: transfer RNA, 83 nt
Filed under: Phycisphaerales bacterium
Lineage: Bacteria; Pseudomonadati; Planctomycetota; Phycisphaerae; Phycisphaerales
Description: tRNA-Tyr
Rfam family: tRNA
About the family: Transfer RNA (tRNA) molecules are approximately 80 nucleotides in length.
Source: RNAcentral